Molecule: long non-coding RNA, 3807 nt
Organism: Grus americana (Whooping crane)
Lineage: Eukaryota; Metazoa; Chordata; Aves; Gruiformes; Gruidae
Exons: 3
Source: RefSeq, a predicted model, not a curated record
AGCUGCAAAACUUUGCAACACAAAGCCACUUUACAAAGAGUUUAGCUCUAUAGAAACCCCAGUGAAUGCUAGGAGGAAUCCCAGAAAACUUUGCAUGAUGCUUCAAAAUGCACCACAGGGAUCCCGUGCUUGUUACCUCCUGACACCAUCUUUCUGUAAAGGAAAAAGCAUACAGCGCUCUGUGGAGCGAUUACCCUGGGGUCCUACGCAUUCAGCACUAAUAUUGGGAAGUUUCAGAUCUCACAAAGAAGACAACAAGGACCUUUGAUUGCCCCUGUUGAAGCUCCUGGUAAGAAGCAGGUCACUUCCCUCCAGCCCCUCGGAGCCUAGAUGUGUGGACAUUUUCAUGCCCACUUGACAGGUGACUGUUUUACCAGACAGGGUUGUCAGUGCUGCUGGGGGUUAUCUGGAUUUAGCUGUAGGCAGGAACUGAACCACAAUGAGCAUUAAAAAAGCUCACUGUUCUUCGUUUGUUUAGAGACAGGCCAUCUCAAACUUGUUUGAAGCCUUUUUUAUUGAAUUCACACUCUUGUGCCAAGCACUGAAAGAUUUACUUUGGCUAUUGCUGUAAGAUGGAAAGCAUAUGAAUGCGUGGCUGUCUGCCAGCUAUGGGUGAGCAGUGAAAGGUCUGCUACAAUGGACGGUUACAUGGAACAAAUGUGAAUGCAGCGGGCAGACGUGACUAAAGAAAGGCUUUGGCAUUCAAAGAACUGCUUGAGGUUUAAUCCAGUGACUGAAGUAGGGUCAAGAGAUAACACGUCUAACCUGCAAAGCUUUUAACUGUGCAGCAGCUGAAAAGUAGUCGGCUACAGGUAGACACACGUGUCGUCUGGAGUACCAGCUGCUUGCCUCCCCUUGCAGGCUCUGGCUCGUCCACAGACUCCAUCUGCGAAGGCGAAGACCCAGUUGGACUUAUCCAACGCAAGGUACCACAAUUGCUGUUGUACGUUUCUUGCAGAUGUUGCCAUAAUUUUGUUGUGGUACAAUUUGACGUACGACUCCCUGCUGCAUCCGAAAGGGGCACAUUAUCUCAAUUAAUGUUUCACAGCAAACGUGGCACUGAUAGUAUUCAUGGGACUAAAGACUAUUACCAUUUGCAUGGUGACUAGCACAAGAAUUAUGACUAUGUGUGCUUUCUGCAGCAAAAUUUGCCCUCAGGCUCCCUUUUUUUUUUUCUUUUUGGCUUGUGACAAUGUUCCCUUUUUCUUCCUCCUUCUGUUUUGAUUUCUACUUAAAGUUUUAUGGCUCUGUCCCCUCCAGGGUGCUAUUAUCUUGUAUGCUAAUAGGGCUAUGCAUAUUCUAUUAGCGUUGUCAGUGUGAGAUAAGAGGCACAUUCUGUAAGGAGCACUCGGGGGGUAAUAAUCACAGCAAGGGGUCUCAAUGUUAGUACAUUAUCAGUCAUCUUCACAUUUCAGUGGAGCCUGUUUAUGCACCUCUUCAGCUGCGCAACCCAGACACUGAAAAUUGCUGAAUGUUUACGGAAACUGUUGUAGAGGAACAUAAUGGGAUUGGAGAUUGACUUGAUAAAGGAGCCUUCUCCCUUGUUGCUUCCAGAUACAAGAUGUUUGUAACUGUAUGCAAUAAGUAGGAUAAUAUGUUAUAUGGCAGUUAGCAGCGAAAAGCAGGCUCAGAUCUGUAUUUCAAGCAGUAGAGCAGCUAUCUAGGAAAAGAUUUCAAAAGGGCGCACACCAUCAGGGUUUCUGCAGAGAUUUCUCUUUCUUUCUCCCUUUCUACAUCGUAACGCCCAAAUGCACGCACCUGGUUCACAUCAGUAGGAAGGCUGACAAUUUUUACACCCUUUAGUCUUGAACUUGAAUGAUUAUAAGUAAGUAGGCCCGUAGAAAGGAAAUUGGUGACAGCAUGUGAAGGGCAAACGAGUAACUAUUUGCAACACUCUUUGUUAGUUAAAUAACAUUCCUUAGUUGCAGCAAUGGGCAAUGGCGUGUGAAAUAGGUGUCAUGCGAAUGUUUUCUUCAGCUGUUGAUGACGCUAUGGGCUGGUGAGGCAGAGAGUUUUCUGUUGUUGGACUGAGAAACUGUUGUUUCUCCCAGCUCGCUUGCGUUCCCGUUAAGAUUCGCAGGGGUGGCAGCGCUGCAGCCUGCCAUCAUAGCCAUCCUAUGGCAGGCAUCGCUACGCCCUACCGGCAAGAGUUCAUCCACGGGGCAAGUCCAACAUAGCAAACUUUGGGCAGAGGUCUACUGACCAAGUGGAUAAUUGUGUUCCAAUGCAUCCUGUGAAUAAUGCAGAUAAAAAACCUUCAGUGAAUAAUUCAUUUUGCCUCCACUCAUUUUGAAUUAGCCUAUUCACUGACUUCUGGAUCCUAAGUCAAGCAAAGCCUAUGAGCGGGAGGAGACACUUGCCUUAGGGAUGGCAUUCCCUGAGGGGUAUGGACAGCACCGAAAUUGCCCGAGCAGCACUGAUAACGUGCCUGCAGCUCGAGAACAUUUGUAACAGGCUCAUCUGAAAAGCAGAGGGAAGGAGGCUAUUUCCUGAUCAGAUUUGUCAGAGAAGUUCUGAUAAGCAUCUGAGAAGCAUCUGAAAUCUGCACAGCACGUACCCCUGGUCUGGCUCUGGAAUACGUAUCAUUCACAUGCAAAAACUGUUGCUCAGUGUGGGUGGAUGCUUGAUGUAUGGCUCCAGAGGACAAGGUGCUGUGACAGCCAGUGGAACUGACUGAAUGGCCAAGGGUCUCUGGAAAUUCCGGUGGGAAUCCAUUUGCUGUGCGUUCUCCUGCCUUGAGCAGUCAACAAGUUGCGAGCAUGCAGCUCCUAAUGAGGGCUGGCAGGACAGAUGGUUUCUCUUUCCCUGAGAGUUCUUGCUCUGCAGAGAGAGGCGGACACUCGUUUUGACUCCUUGUCGGGGGCUUUUCAGUUUCCAGUCCAUUACAAGUGACAUAGCCGAUAAAGAGCCUGUCUGUCAGGCUGCGUUGUCUCUGGAGGGGCGAAUCUUCAUCCCUUCCUGUACUCGUACCAGAACUGUCUGCUUGUGCUGUGUCAGAUCACGCUGGGCACCAGGUGAGGGGGAACUCUGCUGGGAGCCGAUCACAGCUUCCCAGCCCUGCCAAGUCCUGUCCCACGCACCCCUCCUAGCACUUCAUAGGCAAUGGCAGCUCUGGAAGAAACUUCUUCCCAAGUGGGGAUGUCGGUGCUUAAAAUAAAUCACUGCCUAUCGUUUUCUGAGUGGGUCAGAAGAAGACUUGUAAGCCUGCGUUGUGAACAGCUCUAACCCACUGCUUGGGAAAGAAAUGCCAGAGCAGACAGCAUUGCUCUGGAUCCAUCACCCAUGAAAGAAAAAAGGAAGCAAAAAUCUGACAGCUGUGGCCAGUCAUGAAUUAUUUUGUGCAGUCACAUAUUGGGGAUGUAUAGCUCCUUUCAUUUACAGAAAGUGCACCUCUAUAAACCAAUCAAGGUCAUACCGCACUUCUCGGUGGGAACUGCUAUUCCCGUUCUGCAGCAGAGAAGGAAAAGGGUAGAUCUGCACAGAAUUUGUCUUCCUUCAACGGGGACCUUGCAGGCUACACCAAGGGGAUCUGAGUGGCAAAGUCGGUGCCGCCAGUGACUGGUCCAUGGCCAGCAGGGAUUCUGCAGCAGAACGGGGGUGGAGUGUGGGGGUUUGCAUCCCAAAGCAUUGAUCUGAACAGCUAUAACUGAAAUAACGUAUCUAGGUUUCAUUGCUAAUGAAUAAGCAAGCCGCUCGCUACUCUGAGCCUCCCCUUUUUUCUUUCUAAUUUGGACUGACCUUCUGUGUCUUUGCCAGAGUCCAAGUGUUACUUUCCAAUGCCCGUUUACGAGGAAUAAAGACAAGACA